GAUGAAGAACGUAGUAAAAUGCGAUAAGUAAUGUGAAUUGCAGAAUUCAGUGAAUCAUCGAAUCUUUGAACGCACAUUGCGCCCGCCAGUAUUCUGGCGGGCAUGCCUGUUCGAGCGUCAUUUCAACCCUCAAGCACAGCUUGGUGUUGGGACUCGCGUUAAUUCGCGUUCCUCAAAUUGAUUGGCGGUCACGUCGAGCUUCCAUAGCGUAGUAGUAAAACCCUCGUUACUGGUAAUCGUCGCUGCCACGCCGUUAAACCCCAACUUCUGAAUGUUGACCUCGGAUCAGGUAGGAAUACCCGCUGAACUUAAGCAUAUCAAUAAGCGGAGGA
This 332-nucleotide unclassified non-coding RNA is filed under the name soil metagenome. Its description in RNAcentral is "partial contains 5.8S ribosomal RNA, internal transcribed spacer 2, and large subunit ribosomal RNA". The stretch from base 1 to 120 matches the Rfam family "5.8S ribosomal RNA", at positions 35 to 154 of the family's 154-position model. The record is from RNAcentral.